UACGGGGGGAGCAAGCGUUGUUCGGAUUUACUGGGCGUAAAGGGCUCGUAGGUGGCCAACUAAGUCAGACGUGAAAUCCCUCGGCUUAACCGGGGAACUGCGUCUGAUACUGGAUGGCUUGAGUUUGGGAGAGGGACGCGGAAUUCCAGGUGUAGCGGUGAAAUGCGUAGAUAUCUGGAGGAACACCGGUGGCGAAGGCGGCGUCCUGGACCAACACUGACACUGAUGAGCGAAAGCCAGGGGAGCAAACGGG
This 253-nucleotide ribosomal RNA is filed under the name uncultured bacterium. RNAcentral describes it as "partial 16S ribosomal RNA". It matches the Rfam family "Bacterial small subunit ribosomal RNA", at positions 524 to 776 of the family's 1533-position model. The record is from RNAcentral.